RNAcentral lists this ribosomal RNA (404 nucleotides) under uncultured bacterium. Its description in RNAcentral is "bacterial SSU rRNA". It matches the Rfam family "Bacterial small subunit ribosomal RNA", at positions 355 to 776 of the family's 1533-position model. The record is from RNAcentral.
UUGGGAAUCGUUCACAAUGCGCGAAAGCGUGAUGACGCAAUGCCGCGUGGAGGAAGACGGCCUUCGGGUUGUAAACUUCUUUUCUCUGGGACGAUUAUGACGGUACCAGAGGAAUAAGGACUCGCUAACUACGUGCCAGCAGCUGCGGUAAUACGUAGGGUCCGAGCGUUAUCCGGUAUCAUUGGGCGUAAAGAGCGCGUAGGCGGUGGGGUGUGACAAUGGUUAAAUCUCCAUGCUCAACAUGGAAACUGCCGUUGUGACUGCCUCACUUGACGAUAGCAGGGGCAAGCAGAAUUCUCGGUGUAGGAGUGAAAUCCGUUGAGAUCGAGAGGAAUACCAAUGGCGAAGGCAGCUUGCUAGGCUAUAUGUGACGCUGAGGCGCGAAAGCGUGGGGAGCGAACGGG